RNAcentral lists this unclassified non-coding RNA (467 nucleotides) under Hevea brasiliensis (rubber tree). Lineage: Eukaryota; Viridiplantae; Streptophyta; Magnoliopsida; Malpighiales; Euphorbiaceae. The record is from RNAcentral.
GUCAUGGCCAUGGACAAAUAGAUGCUAUAAGAAGAUUGAUCAAGAAAAAAGGCAAAACUGAAAUAGUAAAAAGGACAAGAGAGACCUAAUCUUACAGUCACAUGUUCACGUUAACACAACUAUUUGUGUCCAUACUUGAAAGGAGAGAUUGAAUUAAAAAAAUGAAACCAUAUACCGAUACUUGCUGCUGCAGCCGGCCGCACUUCUCCGGUGGCUGAACUUUCAUAAUUGCUUGAUUAUUUGUGGUGCUUCCUGUUAUUUCCAUCAGAUCAAAAACCCGACUAAAGAUAUCCUCCUGUCAACAUGAAUACUUGAUUAAGGUUUCAAAAAUAAUAACAAUUACUAAUUACAUACCUUUCUUGCACCUCUUAUAUCUAUUGCCUUAGAAUAACAGAACUGAUGAAGAUAUGAUGAAUUAGAAAAGAUAUAUAUCAAAUCAAUACCCCUGUUGGGGGGAAUGAAGCCUG